GACGAACGCUGGCGGCGUGCUUAACACAUGCAAGUCGAACGGAAAGGCCCUGCUUGCAGGGUACUCGAGUGGCGAACGGGUGAGUAACACGUGGGUGAUCUGCCCUGCACUUCGGGAUAAGCCUGGGAAACUGGGUCUAAUACCGGAUAGGAGCCAUUUUUAGUGUGAUGGUUGGAAAGUUUUUUCGGUGUAGGAUGAGCUCGCGGCCUAUCAGCUUGUUGGUGGGGUAAUGGCCUACCAAGGCGGCGACGGGUAGCCGGCCUGAGAGGGUGGACGGCCACAUUGGGGCUGAGGUACGGCCCAGACUCCGACGGGGGGCAGCAGUGGGGAAUAUUGCACAAUGGGCGCAAGGCUGAUGCAGCGACGCCGCGGGGGGGAUGACGGCCUUCGGGUUGUAAACUCCUUUCGCUAGGGACGAAGCUUUUUGUGACGGUACCUAGAUAAGAAGCACCGGCUAACUACGUG
Molecule: ribosomal RNA, 465 nt
Filed under: uncultured bacterium
Lineage: Bacteria
Description: partial 16S ribosomal RNA
Rfam family: Bacterial small subunit ribosomal RNA
Source: RNAcentral